GCGCGAAAACUUUACAAUGCUGGCAACAGCGAUAAGGGGACCUCGAGUGCCAGGUUACAAAUCUGGCUGUCGUGAUGCCUAAAAAGCAUUGCAUAGCAAGGGCCGGGCAGGACCGGUGCCAGCCGCCGCGGUAACACCGGCGGCUCGAGUGGUAACCGUUAUUAUUGGGUCUAAAGGGUCUGUAGCCGGCCGGAUAAGUCUCUUGGGAAAUCUGGCAGCUUAACUGUCAGGCUUUCAGGAGAUACUGUUCGGCUCGAGGCCGGGAGAGGUGAGAGGUACUUCAGGGGUAGGGGUGAAAUCUUGUAAUCCUUGAAGGACCACCAGUGGCGAAGGCGUCUCACCAGAACGGACCUGACGGCAAGGGACGAAAGCUAGGGGCACGAACC
RNAcentral lists this ribosomal RNA (386 nucleotides) under uncultured prokaryote. RNAcentral describes it as "bacterial SSU rRNA". It matches the Rfam family "Archaeal small subunit ribosomal RNA", at positions 339 to 725 of the family's 1478-position model. The record is from RNAcentral.